UGGGCAACCUGCCCCUAGCUCUGGGAUAACUGCGGGAAACUGUAGCUAAUACCGGAUGUGACACGAGACUGCAUGGUCUUCGUGUGGAAAGAUUUAUCGGCUAGGGAUGGGCCCGCGGUCUAUCAGCUUGUUGGUGGGUAAUGGCUCACCAAGGCGACGACGGAUAACCGGCCUGAGAGGGCGACCGGUCACACUGGGACUGAGACACGGCCCAGACUCCGUACGGGAGGNA
Molecule: ribosomal RNA, 232 nt
Filed under: uncultured bacterium
Lineage: Bacteria
Description: partial 16S ribosomal RNA
Rfam family: Bacterial small subunit ribosomal RNA
Source: RNAcentral